AAAAAAUGCUGUUAGUAAUAUAAGGAAGCAGGUGAGAAUGAAACAUCAGAAAAAGCCAGAAAACACAAAGGAGGAUAUGCUAUGACCCAAACGGGCUGGCCGGGCUCGGGAUCGGGCCGGGCUGGGGAUCGGGCCGGGCUCGGGAUCGGGCUGGCCCAAACGAGCUGGCCCAAAUGGGCCGGCCCAGGUUAGGGCCCAA
Molecule: long non-coding RNA, 199 nt
Filed under: Phoenix dactylifera (date palm)
Lineage: Eukaryota; Viridiplantae; Streptophyta; Magnoliopsida; Arecales; Arecaceae
Description: long non-coding RNA (PDAC_LNC004370)
Source: RNAcentral